ACGCGUGGGAAUAUGCCCAGAUCUAAGGAAUAGCCACUGGAAACGGUGAGUAAUACCUUAUACGCCCUUCGGGGGAAAGAUUUAUCGGAUUUGGAUUAGCCCGCGUUAGAUUAGGUAGUUGGUGGGGUAAUGGCCUACCAAGCCUACGAUCUAUAGCUGGUUUUAGAGGAUGAUCAGCAACACUGGGACUGAGACACGGCCCAGACUCCUACGGGAGGCAGCAGUGGGGAAUCUUGGACAAUGGGGGCAACCCUGAUCCAGCCAUGCCGCGUGAGUGAUGAAGGCCUUAGGGUCGUAAAGCUCUUUCGCCUGUGAAGAUAAUGACGGUAGCAGGUAAAGAAACCCCGGCUAACUCCGUGCCAGCAGCCGCGGUAAUACGGAGGGGGUUAGCGUUGUUCGGAAUUACUGGGCGUAAAGCGCACGUAGGCGGAUCGGAAAGUUGGGGGUGAAAUCCCGGGGCUCAACCCCGGAACUGCCUCCAAAACUAUCGGUCUAGAGUUCGAGAGAGGUGAGUGGAAUUCCAAGUGUAGAGGUGAAAUUCGUAGAUAUUUGGAGGAACACCAGUGGCGAAGGCGGCUCACUGGCUCGAUACUGACGCUGAGGUGCGAAAGUGUGGGGAGCAAACAGGAUUAGAUACCCUGGUAGUCCACACCGUAAACGAUGAAUGCCAGUCGUCGGGUAGCAUGCUAUUCGGUGACAC
RNAcentral lists this ribosomal RNA (700 nucleotides) under uncultured bacterium. RNAcentral describes it as "bacterial SSU rRNA". It matches the Rfam family "Bacterial small subunit ribosomal RNA", at positions 113 to 849 of the family's 1533-position model. The record is from RNAcentral.